This 443-nucleotide ribosomal RNA is filed under the name uncultured bacterium. RNAcentral's name for it is "partial 16S ribosomal RNA". It matches the Rfam family "Bacterial small subunit ribosomal RNA", at positions 338 to 795 of the family's 1533-position model. The record is from RNAcentral.
CCUACGGGGGGCAGCAGUGGGGAAUAUUGGGCAAUGGGCGCAAGCCUGACCCAGCAACGCCGCGUGAAGGAAGAAGGCUUUCGGGUUGUAAACUUCUUUUGUCAGGGACGAAGAAAGUGACGGUACUUGACGAAUAAGCCACGGCUAACUACGUGCCAGCAGCCGCGGUAAUACGUAGGUGACAAGCGUUAUCCGGAUUUAUUGGGUGUAAAGGGCGUGUAGGCGGGAAUGCAAGUCAGAUGUGAAAACUAUGGGCUCAACCCAUAGCCUGCAUUUGAAACUGUAUUUCUUGAGUGCUGGAGAGGCAAUCGGAAUGCCGGGUGUAGCGGUGAAAUGCGUAGAUAUACGGAGGAACAACAGUGGCGAAGGCGGAUUGCUGGACAGUAACUGACGCUGAGGCGCGAAAGCGUGGGGAGCAAACAGGAUUAGAUACCCGGGUAGUC